RNAcentral lists this ribosomal RNA (253 nucleotides) under uncultured bacterium. RNAcentral's name for it is "partial 16S ribosomal RNA". It matches the Rfam family "Bacterial small subunit ribosomal RNA", at positions 524 to 776 of the family's 1533-position model. The record is from RNAcentral.
UCCGUAGGGGGCUAGCGUUGUCCGGAUUUAUUGGGCGUAAAGAGCGCGUAGGCGGCCGAGUAAGUCCGACGUGAAAUCUGGAGGCUCAACCUCCAGCGGUCGUUGGAAACUACUCGGCUAGAGUCCGGAAGAGGAGAGUGGAAUUCCUGGUGUAGCGGUGAAAUGCGCAGAUAUCAGGAAGAACACCGAUGGCGAAAGCAGCUCUCUGGGACGGUACUGACGCUGAGGCGCGAAAGCGUGGGGAGAGAACUGG